Molecule: ribosomal RNA, 509 nt
Filed under: uncultured bacterium
Lineage: Bacteria
Description: bacterial SSU rRNA
Rfam family: Bacterial small subunit ribosomal RNA
Source: RNAcentral
CUGGCGGCGUGCCUAAUACAUGCAAGUCGAACGGCUUUUCUAUGGAAGCUUGCUUCCACUGAGAAGAUAGUGGCGAACGGGUGAGUAACACGUGGGUAACCUGCCCAUAAGAGGGGGAUAACAUCCGGAAACGGGUGCUAAUACCGCAUAGUUUUCUUGAUCGCAUGAUUGAGAAAGGAAAGACGGCCUUUGUGCUGUCGCUUAUGGAUGGACCCGCGGCGUAUUAGUUAGUUGGUGAGGUAACGGCUCACCAAGACGAUGAUACGUAGCCGACCUGAGAGGGUGAUCGGCCACAUUGGGACUGAGACACGGCCCAAACUCCUACGGGAGGCAGCAGUAGGGAAUCUUCCGCAAUGGACGAAAGUCUGACGGAGCAACGCCGCGUGAGUGAAGAAAGGUUUUCGGAUCGUAAAACUCUGUUGUCAGAGAAGAACAAGUUGGAGAGUAACUGCUCCAGCCUUGACGGUAUCUGACCAGAAAGCCACGGCUAACUACGUGCCAGCCGCUGC